Molecule: ribosomal RNA, 468 nt
Filed under: uncultured bacterium
Lineage: Bacteria
Description: partial 16S ribosomal RNA
Rfam family: Bacterial small subunit ribosomal RNA
Source: RNAcentral
GACGAACGCUGGCGGCGUGCCUAACACAUGCAAGUCGAACGGAAAGGCCCUGUUUUUGUGGGGUGCUCGAGUGGCGAAAGGGUGAGUAACACGUGAGUAACCUGCCCUUGACUUUGGGAUAACUUCAGGAAACUGGGGCUAAUACCGGAUAGGAGCUCCUGCUGCAUGGUGGGGGUUGGAAAGUUUCGGCGGUUGGGGAUGGAUUCGUGGCUUAUCAGCUUGUUGGUGGGGUAGUGGCUUACCAAGGCUUUGACGGGUAGCCGGCCUGAGAGGGUGGCCGGACACGUUGGGACUGAGAUGCGGCACAGACUCCUCCGGGAGGCAACGGAGGAGUAGGUGGCAUAGUGGGCUGAGGCCUGAUGCGACGACGCCGCGUGGGGGGUGACAACCUUCAGGUUGGUAUCCACUUUCGCCUGUGAAGAGGAGUGAGUGACGGUAAUGGGUAAAGAAGCACCGGCUAACUACGUG